Small nuclear RNA from Pipistrellus kuhlii (Kuhl's pipistrelle), 104 nucleotides. The record is from RefSeq and is a predicted model, not a curated record. NCBI's taxonomy places the organism in Eukaryota, Metazoa, Chordata, Mammalia, Chiroptera, Vespertilionidae.
AUACUCACUUCGGCAGCACAUACACUAAAAUUGGAACGAUACAAAGAUUAGCAUGGCCCCUGAGCAAGGAAGAUAUGCAAAUUCGUGAAGUGUUCCCUAUUUAA